RNAcentral lists this ribosomal RNA (253 nucleotides) under uncultured bacterium. RNAcentral describes it as "partial 16S ribosomal RNA". It matches the Rfam family "Bacterial small subunit ribosomal RNA", at positions 524 to 776 of the family's 1533-position model. The record is from RNAcentral.
UACGUAGGUGGCAAGCGUUGUCCGGAUUUACUGGGCGUAAAGGGCGUGCAGGCGGUCUGUUAAGUCUAGGGUGAAAGCUCCCGGCUCAACUGGGGGAGGUCCUUGGAUACUGGCGGACUUGAGGGAUGCAGAGGAAAGUGGAAUUCCCGGUGUAGUGGUGAAAUGCGUAGAGAUCAGGAAGAACACCGGUGGCGAAGGCGCUCUGCUAGGCCGCAACUGACACUGAGGGACGAAAGCUAGGGGAGCGAAUGGG